Molecule: ribosomal RNA, 402 nt
Filed under: uncultured bacterium
Lineage: Bacteria
Description: bacterial SSU rRNA
Rfam family: Bacterial small subunit ribosomal RNA
Source: RNAcentral
UCGGGAAUUUUGGGCAAUGGGCGAAAGCCUGACCCAGCAACGCCGCGUGAGGGAGGAAGUAUUUCGGUAUGUAAACCUCGAAAGAAUGGGAAGAAUAAAUGACGGUACCAUUUAUAAGCUCCGGCUAACUACGUGCCAGCAGCCGCGGUAAUACGUAGGGAGCAAGCGUUGUUCGGAUUUACUGGGCGUAAAGGGCGCGUAGGCGGCGCGGUAAGUCACUUGUGAAAUCUCUGGGCUUAACUCAGAACGGCCAAGUGAUACUGCUGUGCUAGAGUGCGGAAGAGGCAACCGGAAUUCUUGGUGUAGCGGUGAAAUGCGUAGAUAUCAAGAGGAACACCUGAGGCGAAGGCGGGUUGCUGGGCCGACACUGACGCUGAUGCGCGAAAGCCAGGGGAGCAAACG